Molecule: ribosomal RNA, 1466 nt
Filed under: Raphidiopsis curvata NRERC-701
Lineage: Bacteria; Bacillati; Cyanobacteriota; Cyanophyceae; Nostocales; Aphanizomenonaceae
Description: bacterial SSU rRNA
Rfam family: Bacterial small subunit ribosomal RNA
Source: RNAcentral
UCAGGAUGAACGCUGGCGGUAUGCUUAACACAUGCAAGUCGAACGGGAUGCUUAGGCAUCUAGUGGCGGACGGGUGAGUAACGCGUGAGAAUCUGGCUCCAGGUCGGGGAUAACAGUUGGAAACGACUGUUAAUACCGGAUGUGCCGAAAGGUGAAAGAUUUAUUGCCUGGAGAUGAGCUCGCGUCUGAUUAGCUAGUUGGUGGUGUAAGGGACCACCAAGGCAUCGAUCAGUAGCUGGUCUGAGAGGAUGAUCAGCCACACUGGGACUGAGACACGGCCCAGACUCCUACGGGAGGCAGCAGUGGGGAAUUUUCCGCAAUGGGCGAAAGCCUGACGGAGCAAUACCGCGUGAGGGAGGAAGGCUCUUGGGUCGUAAACCUCUUUUCUCAAGGAAGAAGAAAGUGACGGUACUUGAGGAAUAAGCAUCGGCUAACUCCGUGCCAGCAGCCGCGGUAAUACGGAGGAUGCAAGCGUUAUCCGGAAUGAUUGGGCGUAAAGGGUCUGCAGGUGGAACUGAAAGUCUGCUGUUAAAGAGUUUGGCUUAACCAAAUAAAAGCGGUGGAAACUACAGAACUAGAGUGUGGUAGGGGCAAAAGGAAUUCCUGGUGUAGCGGUGAAAUGCGUAGAUAUCAGGAAGAACACCGGUGGCGAAAGCGUUUUGCUAGACCAUAACUGACACUGAGGGACGAAAGCUAGGGGAGCGAAUGGGAUUAGAUACCCCAGUAGUCCUAGCCGUAAACGAUGGAUACUAGGCGUGGCUUGUAUCGACCCGAGCCGUGCCGGAGCUAACGCGUUAAGUAUCCCGCCUGGGGAGUACGCACGCAAGUGUGAAACUCAAAGGAAUUGACGGGGGCCCGCACAAGCGGUGGAGUAUGUGGUUUAAUUCGAUGCAACGCGAAGAACCUUACCAAGACUUGACAUCCUGCGAAUCCUGGUGAAAGCUGGGAGUGCCUUCGGGAGCGCAGAGACAGGUGGUGCAUGGCUGUCGUCAGCUCGUGUCGUGAGAUGUUGGGUUAAGUCCCGCAACGAGCGCAACCCUCGUUUUUAGUUGCCAGCAUUAAGUUGGGCACUCUAGAGAGACUGCCGGUGACAAACCGGAGGAAGGUGAGGAUGACGUCAAGUCAGCAUGCCCCUUACGUCUUGGGCUACACACGUACUACAAUGCUACGGACAGAGGGCAGCAAGCCAGGGAUGGCAAGCGAAUCCAGAAACCGUAGCUCAGUUCAGAUCGAAGGCUGCAACUCGCCUUCGUGAAGGAGGAAUCGCUAGUAAUUGCAGGUCAGCAUACUGCAGUGAAUUCGUUCCCGGGCCUUGUACACACCGCCCGUCACACCAUGGAAGUUGGUCACGCCCGAAGUCAUUACCCCAACCGAAAGGAGGGGGAUGCCUAAGGUAGGACUGGUGACUGGGGUGAAGUCGUAACAAGGUAGCCGUACCGGAAGGUGUGGCUGGAUCACCUCCUUUA